CCUAGGGGUGGCUGCAGUGGGGAAUAUUGGACAAUGGGCGAAAGCCUGAUCCAGCCAUGCCGCGUGUGUGAAGAAGGCCUUCGGGUUGUAAAGCACUUUCAGUGGGGAAGAAAGCCUUGGGGCUAAUACCCUCGAGGAAGGACAUCACCCACAGAAGAAGCACCGGCUAACUCCGUGCCAGCAGCCGCGGUAAUACGGAGGGUGCGAGCGUUAAUCGGAAUUACUGGGCGUAAAGCGCGCGUAGGCGGUCUGAUAAGCCGGUUGUGAAAGCCCCGGGCUCAACCUGGGAACGGCAUCCGGAACUGUCAGGCUAGAGUGCAGGAGAGGAAGGUAGAAUUCCCGGUGUAGCGGUGAAAUGCGUAGAGAUCGGGAGGAAUACCAGUGGCGAAGGCGGCCUUCUGGACUGACACUGACGCUGAGGUGCGAAAGCGUGGGUAGCAAACAGGAUUAGAUACCCGUGUAGUC
Molecule: ribosomal RNA, 465 nt
Filed under: Vreelandella stevensii
Lineage: Bacteria; Pseudomonadati; Pseudomonadota; Gammaproteobacteria; Oceanospirillales; Halomonadaceae
Description: partial 16S ribosomal RNA
Rfam family: Bacterial small subunit ribosomal RNA
Source: RNAcentral